CAUGGACAAUGACGAAUUACAUGCCCCUUUUAAUUAAUAUUUUAAGUAACUAUGAAUUAAUGUGCAUUUGCAUAUUGAAACUGCAAUGAAGUAAGCUGCAGGACGUUGGGGAAGACCCAUUUUUCAUCCGUCGACUCAAGUUGACAGAGCUGAGCUUUGGGCACCAACAGGAGCAAGUCGUCCAUGUCCCCCUCUCCUUCCUCCUCAUCCUUGUCCUGCUCCUCCGUCAAUGUCUCCAGCUCAUCCAGAGACUUGGAAAUGCCAGUGGGGGCACUUCUCCGGCUACUAUGUAACCAGACUGUACUUCAUAUGAAAACUCCCGAACUAACAGAUGGAUAUUUGGAACGCAACUGUGUCCGGAAGAGCCGACGUGUCCAUGAGUGCUCGCUUUGACCUAUCAUACCCUGUAGCUGAUUUAUCAGUAGAUAAUGUUUUUGCGAAUUCUGUUACUUGUAUACAUCUUUCAACAACCACAGUAAUGUAAUGUAAUAAAAUGAUAUGUUGUAAACAGUGAUAGGUCUCUGCUGACUCAUAAUAGUAGGAGGUUGAGGACACUUGUGUUGUAGAUGUUUGGAGGCGUCAACUUACAAGUGUCAUUCCCUUAGAAAUGUGUAUUUGAGUUCAGGAAAGGUAGACAAUGUUCAGCCAAUGUAGUUAUUUAUAUGACGGACACUUUGUAACAUAUUCCUUGUCUAGUUGUCAUGUUUUAUUUUAAUCAUAUUUUUACUUGAAAUCAAGUCUCAAGUUAUGUGAUUUGUUUGAGGUUUUGUUGGAGAAUACGAGUUGAGUUUAUUGAAGUAUUCACUACAAGUAAUGUC
Molecule: long non-coding RNA, 818 nt
Filed under: Oncorhynchus kisutch (coho salmon)
Lineage: Eukaryota; Metazoa; Chordata; Actinopteri; Salmoniformes; Salmonidae
Description: lncRNA (ENSOKIG00005003180.1)
Source: RNAcentral